Molecule: ribosomal RNA, 253 nt
Filed under: uncultured bacterium
Lineage: Bacteria
Also listed under: 1 other name
Description: partial 16S ribosomal RNA
Rfam family: Bacterial small subunit ribosomal RNA
Source: RNAcentral
UACGUAGGGUGCAAGCGUUGUCCGGAAUUAUUGGGCGUAAAGAGCUCGUAGGCGGUCUGUCGCGUCUGGUGUGAAAACUCAGGGCUUAACCCUGAGCUUGCAUCGGGUACGGGCAGACUAGAGUGUGCUAGGGGAGACUGGAAUUCCUGGUGUAGCGGUGAAAUGCGCAGAUAUCAGGAGGAACACCGGUGGCGAAGGCGGGUCUCUGGGGCAUAACUGACGCUGAGGAGCGAAAGCAUGGGGAGCGAACAGG